Molecule: ribosomal RNA, 371 nt
Filed under: uncultured bacterium
Lineage: Bacteria
Description: bacterial SSU rRNA
Rfam family: Bacterial small subunit ribosomal RNA
Source: RNAcentral
AAUGAACGUUGGCGGCGUGGAUUAGGCAUGCAAGUCGAGCGAGAAGCGUAGCAAUACGUGGACAGCGGCGAAAGGGAGAGGAAUACAUGGAUACCUACCCUCAGGUUCAGGAUAGCUAUGGGAAACUAUAGGUAAUACUGAAUAAUAUCUCCGGAUCAAAGGUGUGAUUCCACCUGAGGAGGGGUCCAUGUCCUAUUAGCUAGUUGGCGAGGUAACGGCUCACCAAGGCGAAGAUGGGUAUGGGAUGUGAGAGCAUGAUCCCACUCACUGGGACUGAGACACUGCCCAGACACCUACGGUGGCUGCAGUCGAGAAUCUUCGGCAAUGGGGGCAACCCUGACCGAGCGACGUCGCGUGCGGGAUGAAGGCCU